This is a long non-coding RNA of Culex pipiens pallens (northern house mosquito), 911 nucleotides long. RefSeq lists it as uncharacterized. The record is from RefSeq and is a predicted model, not a curated record. NCBI's taxonomy places the organism in Eukaryota, Metazoa, Arthropoda, Insecta, Diptera, Culicidae. The transcript is spliced from 3 exons.
UAAAAUCCCAGUGCCAUCAGUUUCCUUCUGUCAGGUGCAUCGCGAUCGUAUUUCGAGUUGCCCGAAAUGGUGAGUGAGAGCGGUGAGAGCUAAACACCCGCAGGAGUGUGCCUCAUACCCGGUUCUAAUCUGUCGGACAAAACACGACUGGUCUUCGGAGCGUCGAUCUGAACCGGCGGACUCGGUACGUGACAUCUAAACACCCGCAGACAGCCGCUGACGGUCGUUGCCGGUGGAAAUGCCCAGAUUGUCAACUCGCGGAAGCCAUUCAUCCAAAGGAGUGAAUUCUCCCAACCUCCAGGCCGUGCAUCAUACCCGGUUCAAAUCUUCCGGACAAAACUUGACCGGGAAGAUGAGCUCCCGGUGGGCUUCCGGCCAAGCUGCAACGUCGUCGGGAUGUGGAAUUCCCCCGGAAGCCGCACGCUCAUCUCCCCGAAGCAGUUCAUCGGCGCCGCAUGGUGUCGAAUGAAGGUUAGCUCCCGGUGGGCUUCCGGCUAAGCUGCAACGUCGUCGGAACGUGGACUUGCCCCGGAAGCUGCACGCUCGGCGUUGAAACGUAACAAAUCAUAAUUGCACCACUAUCGAAACAAGUUGGCCAUGUUGACUUCAAGGCGCGAAAUAGUCGGAAGCUGGACAUCUUCCCAAAGCAGUCCAUCGGCGCCGCAUGGUAUCGAAUGAAGGUUAGCUCGCGGUGGGCUUCCGGCCAAGCUGCAACGUCGUCGAGAUGAGGACUUCGCGCCUCCCCGUCGGAGACUGCUCGAUCAAAAUCGGUAUCCAGGACGAGUGAAAAAGUGAAACUUUUUAACGACCUCUUAAGAAGAAAAAUGCUCAUUCAGUUGGAUUAAUGUCGGUGGGAAUAGAUUUCUUCGAAAUGCAUUGUAUUGUUGUGUUAAUAAAACUGUUAUUUUUUA